Choloepus didactylus (southern two-toed sloth) is the source of this 691-nucleotide long non-coding RNA. RefSeq lists it as uncharacterized. The record is from RefSeq and is a predicted model, not a curated record. Lineage: Eukaryota; Metazoa; Chordata; Mammalia; Pilosa; Megalonychidae. The transcript is spliced from 2 exons.
CAUUGUUCAAAACAGAACAGGAAUUCCAAAACAAAACAAAAAGCCCGGGAGCACAGGAGUGCAGGUUGGGGAGAGAGGAUUCACCUUACCAGCAGGGCCUCUGAAUUCAGAAAAGGAGCACCUGCUCCAAGCACUGGAAGACAUCACAAACAGAAUGGCAUGCAGAGGAGCAAGAGCAGAAGCAGGGAAAAUAGCUGGAAGGCUUUUGCAGUUGUCCGGGCAAGAAGGGAUGGUGGCUUGGGCCAGAGUGGAGGUGGCGGAAAUGGAGAGAAGAACUCCACAGGAUCUCCCUGCUCCAUUCAAGCCCAUUUUCUCACUGAACGCUGUCACCAGAGCGUGCUCACGAAUUUGAAGUACAUGGAAGCUUGUCCACACUGAGGGCUCUGCAGGACUCGCCUCUUCCAGGAAGCCUUCUUGAGACACGGCCAGUUAUCUGAGAUCACUCAGGAGCUGUGUAUAUCUUCUGCAUUGCCCCUUCUCACACCUAGUGCUUCUCUAUGGCUUAGCUGUUUUCCGGUCUACUCCUGGAAAUGCCUUCAUUUCUCGUCUUGCUUUCUUCCUUUAGAAAGCAAAUGCUUUGUUGGCAUUUGCUGAAUGGUAUCAACAGGGCUCCUUUGGAAAUCACAUUUGUAAAUUAUUACUGAUGACAACUGCUUUUUUUUCCCCCCAAAUUAAACACUAGUUGCUUAAA